GGCCUACGGGUGGCUGCAGUGGGGAAUAUUGGACAAUGGGCGCAAGCCUGAUCCAGCCAUGCCGCGUGAGUGAUGAAGGCCUUCGGGUUGUAAAGCUCUUUUAUCCGGGAAGAUAAUGACUGUACCGGAAGAAUAAGCCCCGGCAAACUUCGUGCCAGCAGCCGCGGUAAUACGAAGGGGGCUAGCGUUGUUCGGAUUUACUGGGCGUAAAGCGCACGUAGGCGGCCUGUUAAGUCAGGGGUGAAAUCCUGGAGCUCAACUCCAGAACUGCCCUUGAGACUGGCAGGAUCGAGUAUGGAAGAGGUUGGUGGAACUGCGAGUGUAGAGGUGAAAUUCGUAGAUAUUCGCAAGAACACCAGUGGCGAAGGCGGCCAACUGGUCCAUUACUGACGCUGAGGUGCGAAAGCGUGGGGAGCAAACAGGAUUAGAUACCCCAGUAGUCA
RNAcentral lists this ribosomal RNA (443 nucleotides) under uncultured Hyphomicrobiales bacterium. RNAcentral describes it as "bacterial SSU rRNA". It matches the Rfam family "Bacterial small subunit ribosomal RNA", at positions 335 to 796 of the family's 1533-position model. The record is from RNAcentral. Lineage: Bacteria; Pseudomonadati; Pseudomonadota; Alphaproteobacteria; Hyphomicrobiales.